RNAcentral lists this long non-coding RNA (249 nucleotides) under Nicotiana benthamiana. RNAcentral's name for it is "long non-coding RNA (NBEN_LNC001257)". The record is from RNAcentral. Lineage: Eukaryota; Viridiplantae; Streptophyta; Magnoliopsida; Solanales; Solanaceae.
ACGAUCAGAAACUCUAUUCGGAGCUGCAGCUCAGAAAAAUGUCAGUCUCUAACAUUUCGAUCUUCCUUUAAUGUUGAAAAGAAAGAGAAAUGUCUAUAAAUAUAACUUAGAAAGGAGAAAAACAACUAGGCUGGACGGCCUUGGUUAAAAUAUUUUGAUAAGAAUAUAUACAAAGGAAUACCUUAUCAAAUAUAUUUAGGCCUCUUUUGUUUUUUUAAGAUUAAGACGUCUGAAUCUGAAUACAUAUCU